This 253-nucleotide ribosomal RNA is filed under the name uncultured bacterium. RNAcentral describes it as "partial 16S ribosomal RNA". It matches the Rfam family "Bacterial small subunit ribosomal RNA", at positions 524 to 776 of the family's 1533-position model. The record is from RNAcentral.
UACGUAGGUGGCAAGCGUUGUCCGGAAUUACUGGGCGUAAAGCGUGCGCAGGUGGUUGUGUAAGCCAGAUGUGAAAUCCCCGGGCUUAACCUGGGAACUGCGUUUGAAACUACGGAGCUAGAGUGCGGCAGAGGGGGGUGGAAUUCCACGUGUAGCAGUGAAAUGCGUAGAUAUGUGGAGGAACACCGAUGGCGAAGGCAGCCCCCUGGGCCGACACUGACGCUCAGGCACGAAAGCGUGGGGAGCAAACAGG